This 301-nucleotide ribosomal RNA is filed under the name uncultured bacterium. Its description in RNAcentral is "partial 16S ribosomal RNA". It matches the Rfam family "Bacterial small subunit ribosomal RNA", at positions 509 to 807 of the family's 1533-position model. The record is from RNAcentral.
CAGUAGCCGCGGUAAUACGAAGGGGGCUAGCGUUGUUCGGAAUAACUGGGCGUAAAGGGCGCGUAGGCGGAUCUUUAAGUCAGGGGUGAAAUCCCAAGGCUCAACCUUGGAACUGCCUUUGAUACUGGAGAUCUUGAGUCCGGGAGAGGUGAGUGGAACUGCGAGUGUAGAGGUGAAAUUCGUAGAUAUUCGCAAGAACACCAGUGGCGAAGGCGGCUCACUGGCCCGGUACUGACGCUGAGGCGCGAAAGCGUGGGGAGCAAACAGGAUUAGAUACCCCUGUAGUCCCUGUCUCUUAUAC